AGCGAACGCUGGCGGCAGGCUUAACACAUGCAAGUCGAACGAACCCUUCGGGGGUUAGUGGCGGACGGGUGAGUAACACGUGGGAACGUGCCUUUUGGUUCGGAACAACACAGGGAAACUUGUGCUAAUACCGGAUGUGCCCUUCGGGGGAAGAUUUAUCGCCAUUAGAGCGGCCCGCGUCUGAUUAGCUUGUUGGUGAGGUAAAGGCUCACCAAGGCUACGAUCAGUAGCUGGUCUGAGAGGAUGAUCAGCCACACUGGGACUGAGACACGGCCCAGACUCCUACGGGAGGCAGGCAGUGGGGAAUCUUGCGCAAUGGGGGGAAACCCCUGACGGCAGCCAUGCCGCGUGAAUGAUGAAGGUCUUAGGAUUGUAAAUUCUUUCAGCGGGACGAUAAUGAUGGUACCCG
Molecule: ribosomal RNA, 409 nt
Filed under: uncultured bacterium
Lineage: Bacteria
Description: bacterial SSU rRNA
Rfam family: Bacterial small subunit ribosomal RNA
Source: RNAcentral